CUCCAGUGGGCGUCUUGGGCCCCGGCUCUAUUCUGGGCUGCGGGCCUGGGAAGGGCUCGCCGGGUGCCAAAUGAGCUGUCCUAACUCUGCGGGGCUGCAGCUUCCUGCAUGAUGCUGGGGAGCUUGGCGCCUGACCCAGGAUCUAGAAGGCACUCUGGGCAGGCCGCGCUCCGCCCACGAAGGUUUAACCACCAAGGACUCUGAGAGCUGGCAGGUCUGAGUAACCCUGGUAACAAUUCUCUUCACCUUAUCAAAACCUGAGCUAAAACCAAUACAUCAGCUGAUGAUGACAGCAGAGAGUGGCAGGGCUGAGGACCCAAAGUCAUUUCCCAGGCUGGCGGAGAAUAAACUGCCAGGGAGAAGAAUGAGAAGACAGGAGACAAACUGUUUGGAAAGCUAAAUCUUCCCUCUUAAUGAAUAAAGGUUUUUGCCUUGUCUU
RNAcentral lists this long non-coding RNA (439 nucleotides) under Pan troglodytes (chimpanzee). RNAcentral describes it as "lincRNA". Lineage: Eukaryota; Metazoa; Chordata; Mammalia; Primates; Hominidae. The record is from RNAcentral.